Molecule: long non-coding RNA, 15604 nt
Filed under: Coffea arabica (coffee)
Lineage: Eukaryota; Viridiplantae; Streptophyta; Magnoliopsida; Gentianales; Rubiaceae
Description: long non-coding RNA (CARA_LNC001293)
Source: RNAcentral
AUAAAAUGACCGUUAUGAAUAUAAUUUAUACUAAAUUUACAAGAUACUGUUCUUUAUAAUAAAAUUUCAUAAGGGCAGAAAAGUAAUAACAUAAUUGUAAAAGACCUAAAAAGAAAAAAUGUUGGAAAAAAGCAAAGAAAAGCUUCGGACUUUAGUUUCUCUUCCUCCCUUCUUCUCUGUUCGAAUGAGUGACUUCUAAACCCUAUCUCCAUUACUCUCAAUCUCUCACUCGUCGUCGACGCCGUUGCUCGCCACAUCUGUCAGCCUCCAUCGCCAUCACUUUUCUGGUUACUGGUAUGUCUACCUCUGGUCUAAUGUGCAUUUCCAGUUCUAUUUCCAUUUCCCCCUUCAUUCAUCUUCGUUUCCCUCUCUCUCUCUCUCUCUCUCUGUCUCUCUCUCUCUCUAUAUGGCACUAUGGGUGUGGGGACUGGGGACGGCGAAUGGGAAGUAGUAGUAUGAUUGAUUAUUGGGUCUGGGAGUAAACCCAGAAGCAUAUUAAAUUUGUUUUCCUGUCUGCCUCCAUCGCCAUCUAGAUCUGAUGAAACACUUCUGCUUUAAUUUGUUUUCCUUUUUUUGUCUUUUUUUGGCCUUUUUUAUUGGGCAUGCGUAAGUGUAACAAUGAAUACGAAAGCUAUGUGGAGUUUUUUUUGUCUCUUUUUUGUCUUCCGCAUUUGAAUGGUAUGCUAUGUGGAAUUUUUUGUAAAAAUGCCACGCAAUUGGCUAAAGUAGUACACGGUUCUACUAAAUUGGACUUCAACUGAAUUGGUAACCUUUGUCAAAAGUGGUUCAAUCAGAACGAAAUUACUCACAACCCUUUUUUUCAAAAAAAAAAAAAAGAAUUUGAAAACACACUCCAUCAUCUUCACAUGGCUCUAGAUUCUAAUUAUUGCUCUCUUUGUGCUAAAGAAUAAAUUCUAACUUCUAAGAGCAGAUUUCUAAAACCCCAAAAUAAAAAUUGUAAAUCAUAGAUAUAAGGCGUAACCUGUCAAUCUUGGACUUUAAAAAGAAAGAAGGAAGAACAAUUUGAGUAUUCCGUGGUAGUCUGGAUUUAAUGACUUGAUAUGGAGAGUUAAACAAGCACCACUAGAAUUGUUGUGUGUAAUUUGUUAGAAAUACCAUUAAAACAAAACACACUCUGUAUAAUUCCACUAAAGCCCACAAACUUCAUCCCACUUUGUAUAAUUCCUCUAAAGUCCCUAGAUCACUCACAUUAAGAGACUAAAGCUCAAAAUGCUUGAUUAGGCUUGACUUGAUAAGACUUGACUAAAGGUCGAGCCUUAUCGAGUCAAGUCUCGAGCUUAAAAGAAUUUUUUCGAGUCAAGUCUCGAGUUGCGAUUUUUAGGCUUGGUCGAGCUCGAGUAUAGCACUACUCGAACUCGACUUGGCUUGAAUACAUCCCUAGAUGUAGGUGUAGAACCUUCCAGAAUACCUCCUAAAUAGUUAGUCCAAGUGGUGGCAGACAAUUUGCCUACAUUUGAGGCCAUUGUAAGACAUCUUAAACGAAAAGAAAAAUGCAAGAUGAGCAGGCCUCCAAGACUCCUCUGCAAAGAAAAGAACCCAGUGGAGAUUCAUCGGAUUCUGGUUGAAGUGAUAGGCAUAAUUAGAGCUGACAAAAAAGUCCAAAACCCAACAAUCCGCCCAACCCACCCAUUAAUUUUAAAGGAUGGGUUGGGUCAAUUGGGUUAUGGGUUUCGUUGGGUUGGGUAAGAAUAACCCAACUUAUUCAUUGGGCGGGUUGAAUUUUUUAUUUGGGUACCCAAUGUCCAACUUGUUUAAAAGUAAUUUAAAAUAAUAAAUACAAAAUUCAAUACACAAACACUCAACUAUUUGUAUUUGGACAUGUGUUAAUGAUACAUUGAUUAAUUUGUAUUCAAAAUUCUCAUAUAUAUAUAUAUAUAUAUAUAUAUAUUCAAUCAAUUUUUUUAUUUUUAUUUAAAAGAAAAAAGAAACUUGAAAUAAAAACUCGUGCUUAUUUUACUUUUUUAACAGUAGUUAAACUUGCUCAACUUCUAAAAUAAUUUAUUAUGCCUUUUAAAAGUAUGUCGUUUUCCUCCCCCCUUUUUUUUGUGAUUGUUCUCAAGAUGUUACUUGCUUUUGUUUGUUAAUAUUCUAUGUACAUAAAAUAGAGUUUUAAAUUUGUUCUAAUUGCAUUCUUUUUUAAUAUUUCGUAUUGCUUUUGUUUUUUAAUAUUUCAUGUAUGUGUAAUAUUGUAUAAAUUUCAUUUUUAACCUUUUAGCAUUAUAUAAUUUCAAAAUUUUCAAAUUUACAAACAAAAGCUUACUUUGUAUCAACCUAAUUUUUCACUAAUUCAAAAUAAUGCGAUCCCAAUGUGGUAAAAAUGCCAGAAUAGUUCAUGAAUUCUUCUCUCAUUUAUUUCUUAAAAGGUUUGGGAUUUUCCUUAAUAUUUUUUUGGGGACCAAUAGCAAUACUUUUUACAAGCAUAUAAUAUUUUCUGCUUUAUAUCAAAGCUAUGGUAAUUCUAAAAGAUUAAUAUGGCCAUAGCAUCAAGUAUGAUUCUAGAUGAUUCUAAUUAAUCAGGUGAUGAAUUAUCUAACUCCAUCAAAUCAAUAAAAAAAUACAUUCUAAUAUAUAUUAUAUGUAAAUAGAUCAUGAUAUUAAUUUCGAAUCAAUAUAGUUGACUUGCAUAUUCUAGUCCAACGAUUUCAUUUCAUUUGAAGCAAACACCUCCAAUCUUCAACUUCAUGAGAAGCUUACAAUCAGCAAGACAAUUAAUUUUCCCUCUUAAUUAGCCAGUCCAAGAACCAAAAUGCCGUAAUGUCUCCAAUCAUUUAAUGGAAGAAAGCAAUUUCCAUACUAUCCCCAGAAUGGAGUUUUGAUGCGUGGACCUUUCACAACAGUUUGCAAAAUUUCUAAAGUCAUGAAUCAUAAAAUUUUUGAGAAUAUAAGGACUAAAGUAUAAACUUAUUUUCUAUAAUUUCAAUAUUAUUAUACAACAAAUUAUAUGUCUCUUACUUACAUUUUCAAGUAUAAUAUAAUCUAGCAUUUAAUAAUUUAAAUACAUAGAAUAUUACAAUUUACAAUAAAGUAGAUAUAAAUAAUAAAAGUAUUAAUUGGCUGUGACAAAAAUAAGUUUCAAUCAACUAAUAGUAUUAAAAAGUAUAGAGUAAACAAUUUUUUUAGCUAAUGUAUUUAAAUGUACAAUUUAUUAUCUAAAAUUCGCAAUACAAGCAAUAUAAAAUAUUAUUCUAUUUGUGAUUUGUUUUCAAGUAACUUAAGAAGUGAGUGUGUGUCUGUGUGCAUGAAAAUACAUUUAUGUAUGUGAAAAUGUAUUUAUAUGUGUGAAAAAAAUCUUUUUGGUGUGUUAAAAUGCAUAUGAAAAAGUUUAUGUAUUAAAAUGUAUUAAUUAAUAUGUUGGGUCAUAUUUGGGUCAUGGGUUUGAGAUAACCUAAUAUGACUCAACCCAAAAUCAACCCAAUCUAAAGUUGGGCGGGUUGGGUAUAACCCAUUUAAGUGAAAAUUCAAUUUUAACCCGCCCAAUUGCCAGGUAUAGGCAUAAUCUAAGGAAAAGAGUUCAGUAUUCUCUCCCAAACUCCCAUUGAUGUCCCUGAGACAUCAUAAUAGAUGUCAAGAAUCAAUUUGAUACCUCACAUAUGAAUUACCAAGUUCAAGAUGAACUGGACAGGAUAUUAAACUCGAAAACAAAUAGAAACUCAGCCUCUCCAUUUAUUCUAGACAUAGAACACUAUCCACUUCUAGCCAAAUUUAAGAUACCCAUGAUGAAGCCUUCUAAUGCAACAACUGAUCUUGAGGACUAUUUGUUUGUUUUCUUGACUCAUAUGUAGCUACAAACCGCUACUAGUACUAGUAGUGUAAAACCCUUUCAAUAUUUCUAGAAUGGAAGGCCCAAUUAUGGUUCCAAAGAUUACCUACAAGAUCUAUACGCUCUUUCAAUUGGCUGGGCUGUUCACUGACCAUUUGUUUCAUGCAAAGCAUUUUCCAAAGAGCACAGUGCAUCUAAUAGCAGUCAAGCAAUGACAAAAAAGUCCUUAAGGGAUUAUAUGGUUUGAUUCAAUAAUGAAAGUCUUCAGGACAAAGAUCGAGAUAAUAAGGUAAUAAUCACAACCUUUAUUAAUGGUUUGAAAUUGCUGAAGUUGUACACUGAGUUCAUAGACAAACCUCCAAGAACUAUUAGGAAGAUGUUGGACCAACCUCGUGAACGUGCCAAUGCAGAAGAAGCUUAUCAUCAAAAGAGUGAACAGAAAAAGUAGAGAGAGGACAAGUGGAGAAGAAGUGGUAAUAAUAGAGAGACACGAGAAGGGCAGCAAAGGAAAUGCAUUUUUGAUAGGUAGUCCUGGGGACAAACCUCAAAAAGUGAGAAGAAUCUUACUCCUGUUACUACGUCACAAAUUCAAAUCUUGGCUAUUAUGGAGGCUAAAAUGUUGCUACCUCCUUCAAGAAGGUUAUUAGGUAACAAAAAUAAAAGAAAUUAAAGUGCAUUCUGUGCUUUCCACAAAGAUGUGGGCCACGAUAUAGAGGAUUACAUGGAUCUUAAGAGAGAAAUUGAGGAGUUAAUUAAACAAAGGCAUUUAUGUAAUGUGUAAUGACCCGAUCUUUUUCUAGGACAUACCCCAGGGUUUAGCGGACCGCCUACCUAACUCUCGUUAAGACUCACUCACAUCUACUUAAAACACGGAUUAUAACUUCAAGAGAAAGAGGAGCAAUGGUUUCCAUCUUGAUAAAAUGUCGUAUAGACUUGAAAAUAAUGAAUGAGGAGAAUAAUUAUUUCAUUGAUCCAAAAGAAUAUAUACAACAGGUUUCAGCCUAUAUUAGGAAACUAUACACAAUUAUACCCUUAAUCCUAGGAAUAAGAUUUUACACCAAUUUAGCUAAUCUACAGCUAAUCUACAGUUAUAGUUAUAUGGAAUUUCUCUCCACUAAUCUCUCCUAAUUUACACGGUUUUAUUACUCAAUAUUCUACUUCCCAAAAAUACAGAUUUUCCCACACUCCCCCUCAAGCUGGUUUGAAGAUAUCUUUCAUCACCAGCUUGCUCACUAACAAAUCAAACUGUUUUUUGGGAAGACUCUUUGUAAGCAGAUCUGCCACUUGGUCGCUAGUUGGCACAUAGGUCAUGCAGACUACACCUCCUUCUAUUUUUUCUUUGAUGAAGUGCUUAUCUACUUCAACAUGUUUCGUUCGGUCAUGAAGAACUGGAUUGUGAGCAAUAGAAAUAGCCGCUUUAUUGUCACAAUACAAUUUCAUAGGAAGUACUUCUGAAACCUUCAACUCCUGUAAUAUUCUUCUAAUCCAUAUCACUUCACAAAUACCUGGAGCAACAGCCCAGAACUCUGCUUCUGCACUGCUCCUUGCCACAACAUUCUGCUUCUUACUUCUCCAAGUUACCAAAUUACCUCCCACAUACGUACAAUAUCCAGAAGUUGAUCUUCUAUCUGUUAUACAUCCAGCCCAAUCCGCAUCGGUAUAGGCUUCAACUUGAAGAUGUCCUUGUGCCUUAAAGAAAAUGCCUUUGCCAGGUGUUCCCUUUAGGUACCUUAGGAUUCUAUGAAUUGUUUCAAAGUGCUCUAGGCCUGGUGAAUGCAUGAACUGACUAACAAUACUUACUGGAAAUGCUAUGUCCGGCCGAGUGUGUGAUAAAUAAAUAAGUCUUUCUACUAGUCUUUGAAACUUUUCUUUGUCUCUUACUUUCUCUACACUAGCUGGUUGAAGUUUCAAAUUUGGCUCCAUGGGAGUUUCAGCUGGCCUGCAUCCCAUCAUACCUGUCUCUUUGAGCAAAUCAAGCACAUAUUUCUUUUGACUUACAACAAUUCCCUCCUUGGAUAGUGCAAACUCCAUCCCGAGAAAAUACUUUAAGUUUCCCAAGUCCUUGAUUUCGAAUUCCUUGGCCAGAAUCUUCUUCGAAUUCUCUAAUCCUCCACAAUCAUCCCCUGUUAAAAUAAUGUCAUCGAUGUAUACAAUUAAGAUUGCAACUUUACCUUCUUUUGAAUGCCUAUAAAACAAAGUAUGGUCAGCCUGAUUUGUAAGAAAACAAAAUUUUUAACAGCUUUGCUGAAGCGUUCAAACCAAGCUCUUGGUGAUUGUUUAAGUCCAUAAAGAGAUUUCUUCAGUUUGCAAACUUUUCCAACACCAUAUUUGUCUACAAAACCUGGAGGAAGACUCAUAAACACCUCCUCUUCUAGGUCUCCAUUAAGAAAGGCAUUUUUCACAUCAAGUUGGUACAAUGGCCAAUUUGCAUUAAUAGCAAGAGAUAAAAGGACCCGAAUAGAAUUUAUCUUGGCAAUAGAGGCAAAUGUUUCUUGAUAAUCUAUUCCAUGGGUUUGUGUAAAACCCUUCGCAACUAAUCUGGCCUUGUACCUUUCUACAGUACCAUCUACUUUGCUUUUAACUGUAAACACCUAUUUGCACCCAACAAUCUUUUUCUCCCUAAGCAACUCCACCACAUCCCACGUAUCAUUUUUCCUUAAUGCUUCCAUCUCUUCAAACACUGCAGAUUUCCAGUUCUGAUCAUCCAACGUUUUUUUAAUGUUUCUAGGAAUCACAAGUUUUGAAAUUUUAGUGGUAAAGGCUCUAUAUUUAGGGGAAAGGUUAUCAUAGGACACAUAUUUGGAAAUUGGAUGUCUAGUACAAGUACGAGUUGGGAAGAUCAAGAUCAGAUUCUUGAGUAGGAAGGUUUAAAACUGGGUUAGAUUCUGGAACAGCAGAAGAAAAGAAAGGUGAAGUAUUACCUGAUGUAUUUGGACAGACUUCCCUCGAGGACUUCUCAUGAAUAGGAGCUGGACUCAUCAAUGGACCUUCACCCUUUUUAAAAAUAUUUCUCCUAGUGUAUACCACAGGCUCAAGAUUGGAACGAUUUUUUUCUCGUUGUAAUAUUUCCAUAUCUGAUAAACUAAUAUCAAUUUCUGCACUAUCAAAUUGAGGGAUCUUCGUUUCCUUAUCUGUUUCAAAAAUUAUAGUUGGUAAAGCUUCAGUUUCCAAAAAAUUUGAUUCACUAGAAUUCUCCCCCUGAAUCAAAGGUUUGUUAAAGAAAGGGAGACCUUCCAAAAAAGUUGCAUCCAUAGUGACAAAGACUUUUCGUGUGAGAGGAUUAAAGAAUUUGUACCCUUUUUAAUUUGGAGCAUAACCAACAAAGACACAUUUUUCGGUCCUCGGAUCCAAUUUGGACCAAGAUUUCUUUGGAAUAUGCACAUAAGCAGUGCAUCCAAAUAUUUUUAAAGGCAAAUUUGAAUUAACUCUUGAUUCAGGGAAAAUUUUUUUAAAACACUCUAAAGGAGUACUAUAUUGUAAGACCUUGGAAGGCAUCCUAUUAAUUAGGUAUGAUGCUGUUAAAACAGCAUCCCCCCAAAAAUAUUUUGGUAAGUUCAUAUAAAACAUCAUGGCACGAGCGACUUCCAAUAGAUGUUUGUUUUUACGCUCGGCAAUUCCAUUUUGUUCGGGGGUAUCAGUGCAAGAAGACUGAUGUAAGAUCCUUUUUUCUUCAAAAAAUGUUCCAAGGAUGCUAUUAUAAUACUUUGUUCUAUUAUCAGACCGCAAAAUACUUGCUUUUGUUUGAAAUUGAUUUUCUAUCAUGUUAUGGAAAUUUUGAAAAAUGGUUGCUACUUCUGACUUCUUAUGCAUUAAGUAUACCCAACAUAGACGAGUAUGGUCGUCUAUGAAUGUUACAAACCACCUUUUUCCCGAAACAGUAGUAUCCCUUGAGGGUCCCCAAACAUCACUAUGAAACAAAUAAAAUGGUUUGGAUGGUAAAUAAGGCCUUGGGACAUAAGAUUUUCAUUGACUUUUAGCAAGCAAACAACUUUCACAUUUCAGUUUCAGGGGGUUCACAUUCUUAAAAAGCAAAGGAAGCAAAUGUUUUAGAUAAAUAAAACUAGGAUGGCCCCAUCUGUAAUGCCAAACCAUUAUUUGUUCAUAAGCAGAUACAUAAAUAUUACUACUAGACUCUUGAGCAAUUUGAGCACUAGGUGAAUUAUUCUCAAGACAGUAAAGGCCAUUGAUCAUUCUAGCUCUGCCAAUCGUCAUCCUCAAAUUCUUGUCCUGAAAAGCACAAUGAGAUUCAUCGAAAAUAGCCUAACAAUUAGAAUCUUUUGUUAGUUUACUAACUGAUAAAAGAUUGCUGGCCAAUUUUGGAACAUGAAGAACAUAUUUUAGGUUAAUAUUUUUUGAGAUCUGUAUUGAACCUUUUCUAGCAACAGGAGAGAAACCUCCAUCUGCAACCUUGAUCUUUUUAUUUCCAGAACAUGGUAUAUAUGAUUGGAAGAGUUUAAAUGAAUUUGUCAUAUGGUCUGAGGCUCUAGAGUCUAUGAUCCAUGGAGCAGGAAAGGUUGAGGAAUUAGACAGAAAAGAAUUGAAUAGAGCCUUAGAUCCAAUAUCUGUAUGAGCCAUAGAAGCAUUAGGAAAGUCAGAUGAGGUAAAACUGGAUUUCAAUAGCAUAAGAAGAUGCUCCAUUUGUUCUUUGGUGAAAGGACCAGCAUCAGCUUCAUUAGCAGUAGGAACUUCUCGUCCAGACUUCUCUCCUCCUUUGUUUUUCCAAUUUGGAGGUUUUCCGUGCAGUUUUCAACAUGUGUCACGAGUGUGACGACGCUUAUUACAAUAGUCACACCAGACCUGUGAUUUUUCACUGGAUUUUUCUCUUGUUCUAUGCUGAUAAGUUGAUGUUUUAAAGGAUGAGGCAACCUCUAAAGCCGAUCCUUCAACAGCAAUUCCAGGACCCUUCUUUCCCAGCAUUACAUUUCUUCUGCUUUCCUCCCUUCUAACCUCUGAGAACACCUCACCAAUUGAAGGAAGAGGCUGUCUCCCAAUAAUUCUCCCUCUAACUUAAUCAAAUUCAACGUUUAGCCCUGCCAGAAAUUUAAAGAUUCGGCUGUCUUCUACAGUUUUCUUAUGAUGCUGAAAAUCCCCUAUUGAUUUCCAAUCAUAGCUGUUGAAGAGAUCCAAAUCUUGCCAUAUUCGCUUAAACGAAUUGAAAUAUUUUGUGAUAGUGUCUUUCCCUUGACGUAGAUCUCCAAUUUUGAGAGUCAACUCGAAAAUUCGGGUUUGAUUUCCCAAAUCAGAGUACAUCUGAUUGAUAUUUUCCCAUAACUCUUGUGCCGUUGAAUAGCACAUGUAGUUAGAACUGAUAUCUUCCUCCAUUGAGUUUACAAGCCAUGUCAUAACCAUGAAGUUUUCCGCGUCCCAUGUUGCGUAAGCAGGAUCCGUGCAUAUUGGAGCCUUUGUUUCACCAGUUAAAUACCCCAUCUUGCCACGACCUCUGAUAUACAUCCGGACUGCUUGUGACCAUCGGAGAAAAUUAUCUCCAUUCAGCUGAAUGGUAGUAAUCUGAAUUGAGUGAGAAUCAACCCCAGUUUUCAAGGAUUCGAUUCUGUUUUUAGAUGAAAAGGCAGUAGUUUGAGGAUUAAUGGUAGAGUCUGAUGAUGUUUCAGACAUGAUGAAGGGACAGGGGACAAUGUGAAAAAACAACAAGGAGGAAAAAUCAGGCAAACCUAGCUCUGAGACCAACUUGAAAAUAAUGAAUGAGGGGAAUAAUUAUUUCAUUGAUCCAAAAGAAUAUAUACAACAGGUUUCAGCCUAUAUUAGGAAACUAUACACAAUUAUAUCCUUAAUCCUAGGAAUAAGAUUUUACACCAAUUUAGCUCCUCUACAGCUAAUUUACAGUUAUAGUUAUAUAGAAUUUCUCUCCACUAAUCUCUCCUAAUUCACACGGUUUUAUUACUCAAUAUUCUACUUCCCAAAAAUACAGAUUUUUCCACAUAUAGCAAAAUUCAAUUAAAUAGGGUUUCAAAAUAUACAACUCUUGCUUGUUAAUAUCAAAGAAAGUUCAUGUAAAUAGAACUCCUAUAAAUAGACCUCAUGAGACUUAGUAAACCCUAUACAAGGUACAUGCAUGCGCCAUUUGGUUUUCUAAAGUAAAUGAUUAAAAAUUUUAAGUUUAAACUAGACUUAUGCAAUUAGAAAUCAUGUUUAAAGUGGCCAUUACUUUCUCCUUACGAAAUAUAUAGUUUUUAGCAAAAUUUCAGCUUACGUAUCACUACCAAGGGGAACUCAAGCAUCCUUAAGCAACUAAAUCCGAAUUAACCAAAUAACACCCUUCUACUCUCACUUUCACUUGCUUAUACUACAAGAAAAGAAACGGCCAGCAUCUCCCCCUUUUUUUUCCUUAAAUUUUCCUCCAAUUUCAAGGCUAAAAUUUCAUAGCUAAACAGCCCCAAUCAAGUCUAUAAGUUAUAAGAUAAAAAAGGUUCUUAUUUUAGGCCACAAAUCUAACUAAAUUAUGUAUAUGCCUAGCAUAUAUUCAUCGUAUAUCUAAGCUAAAAAUUUAAAUCCUAAGCUAGAAUCUACCAACAAAACUAGAAAAUGAAGUUUUAAAUCCCUUAAGUGAAGCCAAAAAUGAAGUUAAAAGCUGGAAAAUCCUCGUGGCAAGACUCAAGUUUCAUAGCAAAGCUGGAAAUAAUAUUUCAAAGCUGAAAAUUCUCAACCAAAGAUGGAAAUGACAAACUACUACACAAAACUACGAAAUCUUUCAUAAAACCUACUACAAUCAAGCCAUAACUCCAUUCAAAUGCAAGAUUAAGGGAAAAAGUAGUUCCUUGCCAAGGUACCUUCAAUUCCUAAAGAGAAUAGCAAACUACAGCUUUCUUUCCCCAAAAUCACUCCACACAAACCUCCUUCCUUGUUACAACCUUCUAUGGAUUGGUCUAGGAUUUUAGGUUGAUUUCCCACAAAUUCUAGCUAAGAAUCAAGGUGAAAUUGAAGAGGUUUUUUUCCCCUCUUUUCUCUCUUCUCUCUCUCGACCAAGGAGGAGAGAAAAUGAAGGAAGUUUUGGUUCACUAGAUGAUAAAGAUAGAAGAAAUGUCUUGGUCAAAGAUGACCUUGAUUGCAACACUUGGCACCCAACCAUGAUGCGAAUGAGCAAGAGGCCAAUGGUGUUCAAGUAGACCCCAUGAAGGUCCUUCAAGACCCUGUGACACGAGCACGAGUUAAAAAUUUUAAGGAGUCACUUCAAGCCUUAGUUUAUGUCGUCCAAUCCCAAGAGAAAUCGCCCAUUGAAAGAAUCAACCUGGAAGAUCCUUGCAAGACUACCAAGAUAUUGCUUACAAUUGAAGGUGCAAGUGAUCAAGCCUCAAAGGGAGGAUUGGGCCUCGAUUAAGUAGCUCUUGUUAAGUUUGGUUUCUGCCAUGUGGGCCUUAGGUCAAAUAGGACUUUAGUUAGUCAUUAAGUUAAUUAAUUAGUAGGUUAGUUUUCAGCCAAGAGAGAUCCAAUGGGAUGGCUAAAUUUUCUUAAUAUUUUCCAAGUUCUAUUAGGGUUAGACAAGGCUAUAAAUAGCCUCAAGUCAUUGUCUACAUUCAGUUUUGGCGAUAUUAUUAAUAAAAAUUUCAGAAUUUCGUUCAAUUCUUUGUGGCGAAUUCCUUAGCUUGUGAAAGCUAGUUUGAACAUUCUAGAGUUGAUCCUAGGAUUAUUCGUUGACUUAUCAAUCAAGUAAACACACUUGAUUGUGGAGUCCUCUACCAUUGAAUUCACUCUUGAGUGGUCCAAGUUUGGAUUCAACUCCAUCAAAUCGUCAACGUGCCCUCUAAGAUCCUAAGUAGCUUCCGCUUCUCGUAUCAUCUGGUCAUCAGAGCUAAUUAGAGGUAUCACGUAUAUUUCUUUUUAUCGUUUUGAGUCCGUUUUGUUCCCAUAUUCGUAGCUAUGUGUUAUGUUUUGUUGUCCAAGUCCAAAAUCUAUUCUUGUUUAUCUGCGUGUCAUGCUUGUUUUCGUAGUUGCUAUCAGUGUCUUUAAUCUUUCUUGCACAAAAAUUCUGUCCAAAAUUCUGUUUGGUCUCGGUUAUUUGUGUUUAUCCAGCAAGCAAAACAAAAAAAAAAAAAAUUUGGCGGCGGUUCUUUAUCUUCUUGCCGCAACUAGGGCUUCUUGUGUAUUCAUUUUUGUAUGCAAUCUGUCCAGAAAUUUUUAAUCGUUAGUUACCUAUAGUUUCCAUCCAGAUUGUAGUAUAAUUCUUGAUACGAGAAGCAGAAACUACUUAGGAUCUUAGAGGGCCUGUUGACGAUUUGAUGGAGUUGAAUCCAAACUUGGACCACUCAAGAGUGAAUUCAACGGUAGAGGACGCCAUAAUCAAGUGUGUUUGCUUGAUUGAUAAGUCAACGAACAAUUCUAGGAUCAACUCUAGAAUGUUCAAACCAGCUUUCACAAGCUAAGGAAUUCGCCACAAAGAAUUGAACGAAAUUCUGGAAUUUUUAUUAAUAAUAUCGCCAAAACUGAAUGUAAACAAUGACUUGGGGCUAUUUAUAUCCUUGUCUAACCCUAAUAGAACUUGGAAAAUAUUAAGAAAAUUCAGCCAGACUAUUGGGUCUCUCUUGGCCGAAAGCUAACCUACUAAUUAAUUAACUUAAUGACUAACUAAAGUCCUAUUGGACCUAAGGCCCACAUGGCCGAAGCCAAGCUCAACAAGAACUACUUAAUCGAGACCCAAUCCUCCCCUUGAGGUUUGAUCACUUGCACCUUCAAUUGUAAGCAAUAUCUUGGUAGUCUUGCAAGGAUCUUCCAUGUUGAUUCCUUCAAUGGGCGGUUUCUCUUAGGAUUGAACGGCAUGAACUAAGGCUUGAAGCGGUUCUCGUGUCACUGGGUCUUGAGGGACCUUCAUGGGGUCUACUUGAACACCAUGGGUCUCUUGCUCAUUCGCAUCAUUCCCCUCCUCUUGAAAAGGAUUUGUCCUCAAAUCUUGGGAAAAAGUGGAACUCUAUGUUGGUGCGCUUAUAGGAUAGCAAUGUGGGGACUAGAUGAAUGAGCACCAGCCAUGUCACAUGUCGCUUGGACAGCCUUAUGAUGCUUUCGAACAAUGACAUUCUCCAAGACAAGAAACAUAUUGUAUAAAGCUUGUGAUAAUUCCAGGUUCCACUCCAAAGCUCUCUAAUCUCAUGAAUGGUCGAAUUUGGACCUACACAAUAAAUCACACAAUUAGCAUUUGUAGGUAUCAAAUCACUUGACCACUUACCAUUCAUAUUCACAAGAUAAGGAUCUUCAUAGUGAUGCUCAAUCAGGUUAGAAAAGUCUCGAAUAUGAUUGUGCAAAAUUACGAAAUACAUUGCAAGUUGUUGUUGGUAUGGCCUAUCUUGCACAAAUGGAGCAAGAUCGAGAUAGGUAGCUUUUGUACCUUCAAAUUGAAGAAUAAAUUUUGGUUGUAAGGAACCAGAAUUUGGAACAAUGAGGAAAGAAUUAUCACCAACGGAAUAAGAAGGAAGUUUAUAACAAGUUUCAAGUGUAGAAACUCCCUUUGAAACUUCAUUCAGAUCACCAACAAACAAAUCAACUCUUGGUGAGAGAUUGGUCACUUGUUGAUAACAAAAAGAUACCACACUUAAAGCACAAACUCCAUGAAAACUCUUCAAUUCUCUAAAGAAUGUAGGAAUGGAGCAUUUUAAGACCAAGGCGAUUGCACUUUGCUUCAUCUGCACAAAACAAGAAACACUAGAUAAUGCAAAGUUAAGAUGGUUAGCACAAAAACAAGUCCUCUUCACAUCCUUAGAUUGUACAAUAGAUGUCGACUUUCUCUCUUGUUUUUCCACUAUGGCAGAAUCGUGCAUGAAAUUUUCCACACUCAACUCUUUUAAAUGUUCAUUCUCUUUCUCUUUGACACUUUUCUCAACUUUUGCCUUAAGUGCAUGCUCACCACCACACUCAACUCGCUCUUUUUCAAGUUUUCGUUGGAGGAGUUGUUGAUAUGUCUCCCACACUCUACUAACUCUUCUAUCUAUGGAUAAUGUAUUGGCAUGCUUUGUUGUCGAAUGAACCUCCUCCCUUUUCCUUGAAUAUACUGACUUUGAAAAGGUAGGUUGGACGUUGGGGUGAAAUUGUGGAGAACCCUUCCUCUUGACAUCCUUAUUCACCAUUCGGUCAAGACGUCUAUGAAGAGACUCGAAAGCUUCAUCCAGACUCUGCUUGAAUUCUUCCAUCAUGGCCUCCAUGUGUAGUUUUAGGCCCAUGGUUUGGUCUCCAAUUCCACUUGACAUGCUUAGGUAUACCUGCCAAAACAAACAAAACAACUGCUUCUCUCCUUUUUUUUUGUAUACAAAAUAUAGGUUACUCACACUCGUGUUUCACUCAAGUAUAUCACUCUCUAAUAAUCUCACCAGCAAUUCCUUAGGCUCGCUAGUUGCUCGGAUUGAACAAACUAGGAAUCACCAUCAGGUUCGUUCUUGACUAGUCAACAAGUGACACAAGAUAGUAGUAAUGAAUGGACAAUAUUGGAUGACCUAAGAAGGGACCUAAAACUUAGAUUAGGACUGACUACGACUCAAAAGAAAGCAAGAAAGAUGACUUCAAGAUUGAAAUUUUGAAAAUCCUAGAAGUACCCUACCCGACAACCAAAAUUUCUAGAAUUUGUCGAGCUGCUGAUCCUCGAUAUAUUGGUCAGAUUUUUGGGGUAUUUUGGGUGCUAUUUUGGUGUAUGGGUCAGCCCUUAAAUCGCAGUCCAACCGAUUCAACAUUGCGGGCUGGUUUGGCGUGACACGGUGUAACGGCUGGCUUUUGGAUUUUGGAAACAGAAUUGGGUGUAAGGUGGGCUGUUUUAGGUCGGUUGGAGGGGAACUUGGGCCUUUGGCCGAUGGGUUCUUGGCUGCUAUUAAUCCCAACAGAAUUAGGAUUAGUUGGAGUCAAGGUGGGACUUGGUGCACAAUUAGGAAACUAGAGCCAAUAUCUUUCUUCCCUUUUUUUUUUCUCUCUUUCGUUUCUUUUUUUUUUCUCUUCUUUUGCGGCUCUCUGGUUUGUUCUUCAAGAACUCAGAUUUGGUCCCAACAGAUUUGAAAUUUCGGAUCAAAAUUCAAGAUUGCCAAGAGGAUAGAAGUUUUCUCCCGCAAGUUUCAAGAAUCCUCGAUCAAGAAUUACUAAAACAGUCUUGGUUGUUCCAAGAACUUCAAGAUUUCUGGUGAAGAAGCUCAAGAACUACCCAAGUCAGGUUUAGGUAUCCAAGAUUUGUAAGAUUCAACACUAAUACGCAAGGUUUAAAAGGCAAGCAGGUUCGCAGCCCAAACAAACAAAUUCCAGCAACGACUCAAAGAAACAUUCAAGGUACGCAACACUUUUGUUGUUUUUUUUUUUUGACUUUUUGUUGGGUUGUUUUGCAAUCCAAACGACACAAGACUCCACAAGAAUUGAUGCGAAUGAGCAAGAGGCCCAUGGUGUUCAAGUAGACCCUGAGAAGGUCCCUCAAGACCCAGUGACACGAGCACGAGUUAAGAGAUUCAAGAAGUCGCUUCAAGCCUUAGUUCAUGCCGUCCAAUCCCAAGAGAAACCGUCCAUUGAAGGAAUCAACAUGGAAGAUCCUUACAACACCACCAUAAUAUUGCUUACAAUUGAAGGUGCAAGUGAUCAAACCUCAAAGGGAGGAUUGGGUCUCGAUUAAGUAGCUCUUGUUGAGCUUGGCUUCGGCCAUGUGGGCAUUAGGUCCAAUAGGACUUUAGUUAGUCAUUAAGUUAAUUAAAUAGUAGGUUAGCUUUCGGCCAAGAGAGAUCCAAUGGGUUGGCUAAAUUUUCUUAAUAUUUUUCAAGUUCUAUUAGGGUUAGACUAGAAUAUAAAUAGCCCCAAGUCAUUACUUACAUUCAGUUUUGGCUAUAUUAUUAAUAAAAAUUCUAGAAUUUCGUUCAA